GAGGAGAAGAAGAAGAAGAAAGAAGAAGAAGAGGAACUGAAAGAAAUAAAGAAAAAAGAAAGAGAUAGUCUUCAAAUGAACAGAAAGCAAAGGUCUGAAAAGGAACAGCUAAGGGAUCCCUAAGGGAUCUACCAGCUCUUGGGAGCUUCUUUCUGUGAGUGAUUGAACUCAAGAUGUGAAAUUACAGGAACAGAGUCUGAGCUACCCUGGACUCAAGCAUCUUUGGUUGAGGGAAGCAGGGCACUUUGACCUACAAUCUUGCUAAUGUAAUGAUGCCCAAGCAUGUGGUCAGGUCCCUGGAUACUGAGAAAAAGGAAACCAAUGUCUACUCAGCACCUCUUAUGGUGGCUGAGGAACCGCUACCCCAAAAUGGAUAUUGACACAGGGGAUACUGUGACUCUGAGGUGGGAUAGCAUAUUCUACAAAUAAAGAGGAGAGAAAAGGAGCGAGCUACAGGGAACAUACGUCUAGAGAAAUGGCAUGAUUUCAAAGGAUUAAGACUCUUCUGCUCCUCUCACACAGUGAUUCUAACAUUGUCCAUGGGGUAAUGAGAUGCUUCCCAGACCAAUAGAUCUAAGGCAGGGGACAAAUUUCCUGCCAAGGGACACCUAUUAAGGUGUCUUUAGGUUUUACAAACCCUGUUGCGACUCUUCAACUCUUCCAUGGGAAUGUGAAAACUACCUCAGGCCAACCGUCACAGUAGACUCAUAAGUAACUGGGUGUGGCUAGGGUUCAGUAAGACUUUAUAAGAACAGGCAGUAGUGAAAUUUGGCUCAGAGGCUCAACCUUGCUGAGCCCUGGCCUUGGAAGACUUCUGUUCUGUUGUAGCUUGAUGGGCCUGCUUCAGGUGAGUUAAAUGGCUUCUUUAGGAGCUGAGUCCUUGAGUGCGCUUGUAAGAAGACAUGAAGCUGUUCCUAAUGCAGAGGAAAGACCAGGGACUGUCUGCAGGAUGGCUGGGUUCAUAGCCUGUCUCAGCUACUUCACUGUAAGGGACAUCUGCUACACUCGACCUUCCUGGGCCUGGGGUUCUUCCCUUCUGCAGUGGAGAAUAGGUGAGAACUCAUCUCAGAAGAGACACCAUGACGUAAUCCAAGAAACAGAAGCAGUGUGCUUUUCAAACCUCUGCUUUCCAUAUAAAGCCUGCACAUUUCUGCAUGUUUCUUGCUCCUUCUUCUACCCAAACCAGCUUACCAUGGACUUUUUCACACUCUAAAGACUGGUGUGCAGUGCCGGGGCUUGGUGCUACAGGAAGCUGGUACUCUCAUUUGCUGCAGGAUGGUUGGCCACACGGUGAAACCCAAGACUGUGCUAUUUAUUGAAAAUACCCGUUUCUAGCUGUGCUGUGGCUCAGCCUUAGCUCCCACCUUUAAUCCCUCUGGCUGGAAUACAGACACGCCCUUAGUCCACACCUUUAAUCCCAACAAUGAAUUUAAAGUUAGUUUGUAGAAGGAA
Non-coding RNA from Rattus norvegicus (Norway rat), 1452 nucleotides. The record is from RefSeq and is a predicted model, not a curated record. NCBI's taxonomy places the organism in Eukaryota, Metazoa, Chordata, Mammalia, Rodentia, Muridae.